GUUCAAUAUAGUCAGUUCAUACACACAAAAAAUACUCCUCAAAUCUCGAUAUGAUGACGUUCUUUUCAAAGCUAGUUCUUCUGAUUUCCCUUAUGUUAAUCGCAACUGGUUUCUCUCUCUCUCUUUAGUAUUGGUGCUUAAUUUAUGCUAAAUAAAUAUGACAAUCCAGUUUUUAUUUUUUUAUUAUACUUUGAGUUGCUAUGAAAAUAAAAAUAAAAAUAAUUAUUGCAGGUCCAAUGGUGGAUGCAAAGAAACCACUUCCAAAUUGCGAUGUCACUGCAGAUUGCCUCCCAAUAUGUCAAAAAUUCCAUUGUGGAUUCUGUGCCUGCCUUAGUGGAAUCUGCGUUCGCGGCUGCCCCCCACCCUCACCCUCGAGGAAAAUACUCACUAUUUCAUCCCAGCAAUACAAAUAAUUGAUUAAUUUGUAAUAAUCCAACUUAUUUUAUGAUAAAUAAGUUGUUGUUUACAUCUAUAUAAAUAAUCAAUGAAAUAAAAGUUGAAA
Molecule: long non-coding RNA, 502 nt
Filed under: Olea europaea subsp. europaea
Lineage: Eukaryota; Viridiplantae; Streptophyta; Magnoliopsida; Lamiales; Oleaceae
Source: RNAcentral